Molecule: long non-coding RNA, 5143 nt
Organism: Lineus longissimus
Lineage: Eukaryota; Metazoa; Nemertea; Pilidiophora; Heteronemertea; Lineidae
Exons: 4
Source: RefSeq, a predicted model, not a curated record
AUCACACACAUGCAUGACAUGUGUCGUGUGUCAUCAUGGAAGCGAAACUGCGUGGUUCAAUGCUGUUGUUUGUUUAUUGAAAACCGGCUGUUAGAUUGCUGGAAACUUUAUAAUCAUGUGAAGGUUUCCCUAACGUAAUCGGUGCUUUGGACUGCACACAGGUAAAGAUUCAAGCCCCAUCUCAAUUUGAGGAUGUUUAUGUCUGUCGCAAAUCCAUUCACAGCAUCAAUGUUCAGAUGAUAUGUGAUGCUGAUCGCAUUGCCACAAACCUUGUAGCCAAAUGGCCGGGAAGUGUUCACGACAGUCGAAUAUUCAAGGUGUCGUCCAUUGGCCGAGAACUUGCUAACCAAGCUCCACAUGAUGGAUUCCUUUUGGGAGACAAAGGUUAUGCACUUGAACCGUACCUGAUGACACCUUAUCGGAAUCCAACACCUGAAGAAGCCAGAUUCAAUGCCGCCCAAGCACGAACCAGGACACGAGUUGAGCAGGCAUUUGGCAUUUUAAAGAGGCGGUUCCAUUGCUUGCACGAUGAAAUUCGGCUGGUCCCAGAACAGGCCUGUAAAGUGAUAGUCUGCUGUGUAAUCCUCAACAACAUUGCACUGAAGCGGCAGGAUGUGAUGGAGCCACUUUUGGAGAAUCAAUAUAACCUUGAUCCCAUUGAUGACGAUACUGUAACUGGAAGGGUUGUAAGAGAUCAUUUGCGUGAUACCUUCUUUCAUUUCUGAUUGUGCAAGCAUGCAAGUGUUUUUUAUGAUAUUUUAAGAGGAAACCUAAGUGAGUUGGCCAUAAAAUUGCAUUUAAAAGAAUACAUGUGUUAGGGGCAAAAUCCGUGUGCUAUGUGAAUCUAUGCCUUUUAUAGGUACGAAAAAUAGUAUUCAAAACUUUGGUUCAUAGAUCUUGUACUGUUUGGCAUGUUUGAUAUUUGUACUUUUUGUGGCAAAUUUGGAUGUUUUUGAUAGAAUGUCUGACAGAUCAGGGCCCGGUUGCACAGUCAGCAUUAGGUUAACAACAACUUAAAGGCCAUAUAUCAAGGUUUUUUGCCAUUUUCUGCUGUAAGACGAUUUCAAAAGUGUACCUAACACUUUAUACAAUACAGAAAACCAAAUGCAAUUAGCUCCAUCCAUUUUGAAGAUAUAGCCAAUUAUGUGUUUGACAACUUGAUUACCUAAUCAGGCUAGCAACUGGCUUGUUAGAGCCAGGUGGCGGGUUCAGCAAAAGUUGUGAUGUAGAUCAGGUUAUCUGUACAUGUCAUGCAAUCAUAAAAGCAGGAGGGCCUUAAUUAAUUAUGCACACCUGGAAGUAAUGUGUUUCAUUCACUAUGGUGUAUUGUGUGGCUCCGAAUUGUGUCAAGGCUAGCACAAAGAACAAUCGAAUGACGGAUGGGACCCAUUUUCAUGAAUUUCCAAAGCCAGUUGAACGAGAGAGGAGGAAGCUGUGGAUUCGGAAGUGCAAACGUUUGGAGUGUUGGAAGCCUGGGCCUUCGGCCAAACUUUGCAGUGAUCACUUUGUCGAUACGGAUUAUCACAUGAAGCCGGAUAACUGCAUCCAACUGAAUAUUAAAUGCCACUUGUUAAAAACAGCUGUUCCAACCAUGUCAAUUGCAUUUAAUGCCCGAGGCUGCUGAGGUCGGUUGUUAUACAUAAUGUGUAGGCCCUAUUGGGGCCUGUGAUACCGCAUAGUGUCUUCUUGUGUUCCAGCCAUAGCAAGGUGACAGCGACACAGGUCAGUGUCAGUGACAGCCACUGUCAAUGACAGAUUAUUGUCAUCUGACAUCUAGGCCUAUCUAACGUUGCACGGCAUUAUAUCGUCACGUCAAGAUGAUUGUGCAUAAUACCGUCACUUUUCAAUAGUAGUUCAGCGUCAUAACAUAACUGGCGAUACAACACUGACGAGGCGAAACAAUAUUGUGCAACAUUAGUCUGUUCAAAAAUCAUACAUGUUAUGCAUCAGCAACCGUCUAUCAAUGUCUUCUUUGCUAUAUCGGCAGGUCUGCCAUGCAAAUUGAUUAACCACAAUUUCUAAUCACUUUCGUCUGAAUGAUCACUCUCAUUAUGAUCUAGUGAUAUUAAUGGCUCGAACAUGUACGGCUCAACGUUUAAAUAUCCUUCUGUAUCGACCAAGUGCUAAUGCUUGAUUUAAAAUCUCACUUAUGUAGCAGUUGAAUAUCAUCGACUUGGAAAUUUUAACAGUAAUCCUUAAUAUAAUACCAUUUUAAUUGAUAACUCUAGUCUUACAUUAGUGAGAUUUUAAAGCCAGCAUUAGCGCUAACGUUGGUGUUAACCUAACACUGAUUGAGCAACUGAGACAAGACCACUAAUGAAUAUUCAUAGGUUGGAGGGUCCAGGCCUAUCUAUUAGACGAGUGCAUGUUUUUUACUCUCAAGUACAUAUUUGGAGAGGUAUUGACAAAAUAUUUGUUGUGGCAAGUCUAUAGAUAUAAAGAAAUUAUUUGAUGAAAAAAUUAAUUUCGAAUUUUGCUAAUUGGGUAAUAGGGGGCGUGUUUUGAGUUUUUUCUGCCAGUUGGCUGAAAAGAGUGGAAAUAUCAAAGUCUGUCUAAUUUGUCGAUUAAGAAAAAAUUUCCGUGGUCAAUCACCAUUUUAUUUUUCACCAUUUACUUGCCCGACUGUCCGGAAUAACAUGAGGGCCUAACUAACAUGGCUCAUUGAAAUACCUUGUUAAUUCUUCGGUUCACGGGUGAACCGUAAAGCAUGAGGCGUGAGGAGUGAAGCGUGAAGCUCUAUGUAACGUCUGCCUUAGGGGCAUGAAAACUUGAUUGACUGCAGAUUUAAUCCUUAUGCAGUUUAGCCAUUUUUAGCUUGAUGUAAUCAGUUUUAAGGCCAACAAGAGCUAUCUGACAGUCAAUCAACUUUUGUUGCUGCUGUGCUGCCAACUUCUCCUCUUGCAUGACCUCGUAGGAAAGAUUUUCAAGGUCUUCCUUAGAUCUUUUCGGCUUUGGUGGCUUGACCGAGGCUUUAAGCAGAUUGGCAAGUUCUGCCUUGUUCAUGUUCUUGUCAAUGUAAGUGCUGGGGCAGCUGGCUGAUCCUGCUACCCUCUUGCAUGUGGACCUUGGUUCAAGAGGGGCACUUCCUAGGGCUGCUGAAGGCUUGGAGGACAUACUAGUUAUAGUAGAGCUAGGAAGAACAGCUGCAAUUCCUCCUGCAGAAGUCUCAGCAUCAGCUGAUUGUAAUGGUAGUCGGAAGUCAAACACGACAUUCUUGUGUUCAUCUUGCGUCACUGCUGUCCAUGCUGAAAGUAGUUAAAGAUGUGUAGAAAUAUGGUUCAACAUCAAUACAUGACAUUAGUUUUGCAAUGAUUAAAACUGUCAAAAGUUGCUAUGUUAUAUCAAUCUAAAAUGAUUUUUUUUAGAUCGCUUAAUUCCGCUCGGCUGACGUUUACUAUUCAGUGAAAUGAGUCGCUGUGCCUUUUAUCUUGAUGUGUGAUGUGAACAAUUUGUUGGGGAAUUUUGAUUGGGGGGCCUACUGUAUGUUUUCUGGCAUGUCCAAAUAAGGGAGGUUGAGAAUAACGACUUAUCGCGGACACUUAUCGUGUAAAACUGUAGAAAGAGGACAAAAUUUGUGUACAUAUGCAUCUGGAUGUACGUAUAAGUUUCCGUGAUAAGUGACUGAUCUCAACCUCCCUAAUCUUAUCAAAUCAACCUAAUACAUGCAUGUACCUAUCUCAGAGUCGAACCCACUAAUAAGGCCCUUGAUGCUCGGAUCACCUUCUCUCAUGGCGUAGUAGGCCUCUUCAGCAUCAGUUGGUGGUGGUUGACGUCCCCCACCACCAGUUGCUGGAUGACGCAUUUCGUCCAUUUUUGCCCGUGCUGAAAAUGAAUGAAAACAACUUAUUUAUUUCAGCUAUUAAAUGCAAUACAGUCCUGAUCAUUUUAAUCAUAUCAACCUCCUACAUUCCUAAGAUAUUUUGCAAACUAAUAGAUAAACUAAAUGACCAAUAACAUAAAUGCAAGUAUUUUCGUAAGGGUAUGCCUACAUGCAGGCCUUGAUAAGGAUUCUAUUAUUGUCAAAAUGUUUUCAUGUGGUAUUGAUAGUUAGCAUGGUUAGUAGGCCUUCACUUUUACCUUUCUCUUUACUGGUAUUGGAACAGGGCCUUAUCUGACUUUUUGCAAAAUGUUGGUGCUUUCUACUGAAGUCUUAACCCUACAGCUGCGUGAACUGAACUCUUGACUUCUGAUACAUAAUAAUUUUUUGUGAGAAUGGUAAAAUGACUUACCUCCAUGCUUUAUAUUCUUGUACUUUUUUUCACAUUCUGCACUUGUGCGCACCACUACUCCUGCAGCGCUGUACGUAAUGAUAUUUCGAAACAGUUCAAGUUCAAAUUUGAACUAAGAUGUAAGAAUGAUGCUAAAAGUAACAUCACACAACAAAAAAGUGCAUUGCCAUUGACAUUUUAAAAAUAUCAAUAUUGCAGUACUAAAUUGCAAUACCUGGGCCAUGAUGCCUUAUUUGAUGAUUAUAACCAUAGUAGGCCUACUUAGCAAAACUUCAGUUCCUAUAUCACUUUGAAAUUAUCUUGUAUCAGCCACUGGACUGUUCUUCUUGUGUUCAUAUUUUCAUUUUAAAGGGACUCUGUAGACAGCAAGGUGGGCAAGAUGAAGUUUAAAUUAGUCGAGUCUCUCACAUCUCGAAGUACAUCGAAAUCUUCGAUCAUGCUUGUACGCCGAAUAUAUUCAUAUAUAUUAAACAUGACCCAGUUUGAACUACAGUGGACACCUCCCUUAGUGGACACCUCUCUAUUGAGGAUAACCUCUCCAUCAAGGACACUAGUUUUGUUCACAAAGUGGUUGUUUCCAUUACAUUUGACCUUUUUAAUCAGGCACCUCUCAAGUAAGGACAGCACUUGCCAGUCCUAAGGGUGCCCUGAAUAAUAGAGAGGUACUGUACUUAAGAUCAAGAUGACCAAUUUAAACUUUUUGGCACUUUGCUCCUGCCUAAAUAGUCCCCAUUUCUAAAAUGUUGAUAAACAGAUAUGAUGAUGGCAUUGUCAUUGAUCUUGUCAACUCUAGUCUAAAGCAUUGAUGCACUUGUCAUAAAUCUUUAACUGUAUUAAUAUUUACACUUUACAGUGAGAGAAAUAUUAUUUUAUCAUUAUAUUGAUUGAUUGUUAUCAAAACUCAUGUUUUUAUU